Molecule: ribosomal RNA, 383 nt
Filed under: uncultured bacterium
Lineage: Bacteria
Description: bacterial SSU rRNA
Rfam family: Bacterial small subunit ribosomal RNA
Source: RNAcentral
AGCGAACGCUGGCGGCAGGCCUAAUACAUGCAAGUCGAACGGAUCCUUCGGGAUUAGUGGCGGACGGGUGAGUAACACGUGGGAACGUGCCCUUUGGUUCGGAACAACUCAGGGAAACUUGAGCUAAUACCGGAUAAGCCCUUCGGGGAAGGAUUUAUCGCCAUUGGAGCGGCCCGCGUCUGAUUAGCUAGUUGGUGGGGUAAAGGCCUACCAAGGCGACGAUCAGUAGCUGGUCUGAGAGGAUGAUCAGCCACACUGGGACUGAGACACGGCCCAGACUCCUACGGGAGGCAGCAGUAGGGAAUCUUGCGCAAUGGGCGAAAGCCUGACGCAGCCAUGCCGCGUGAAUGAUGAAGGUCUUAGGAUUGUAAAAUUCUUUCAGC